GAGGGGGUAUCUGAAAACCCGUAAAAAGAGUAGGAA
The submitters of this non-coding RNA (36 nucleotides) gave its source as unclassified sequences. The record is from Rfam.